CCUACGGGUGGCAGCAGUGAGGAAUAUUGGUCAAUGGCCGAGAGGCUGAACCAGCCAAUUCGCGUGAGGUACGACUGCACUACGGGUUGUACACCUCUUUUGUCGAGGAUCAACGCGAAUCACGUGUGACUCCUUGACAGUACCCGAAGAAAAAGCGUCGUCUAACUCCGUGCCAGCAGCCUCGGUAAUACGGGGGAUGCCAGCGUUAUCCGGAUUUAGUGGGUUUAAAGGGUGUGUAUGCGGUUGGAUAAGUUAGAGGUGAAAUACCGGUGCUCAACACCGGAACUGCCUCUAAUACUGUUGAACUAGAGAGUAGGUGCGGUAGGCGGAAUGUAUAGUGUAGCGGUGAAAUGCUUAGAGAUCAGACAGAACACCGAUUGCGAAGGCAGCUUACCAAACUAUAUCUGACGUUGAGGCACGAAAGCGUGGGUAGCAAACAGGAUUAGAUACCCCAGUAGUC
This 460-nucleotide ribosomal RNA is filed under the name uncultured bacterium. RNAcentral describes it as "partial 16S ribosomal RNA". It matches the Rfam family "Bacterial small subunit ribosomal RNA", at positions 338 to 795 of the family's 1533-position model. The record is from RNAcentral.